RNAcentral lists this transfer RNA (60 nucleotides) under Leiobunum aurugineum. RNAcentral describes it as "partial tRNA-Leu". Lineage: Eukaryota; Metazoa; Arthropoda; Arachnida; Opiliones; Sclerosomatidae. The record is from RNAcentral.
GGUAAUGUGGCAGCUAAGUGCAAUGAAUUUAAGCUUUAUUAAUAGGGAGGAUCUCUUUUU